RNAcentral lists this ribosomal RNA (468 nucleotides) under uncultured bacterium. RNAcentral's name for it is "partial 16S ribosomal RNA". It matches the Rfam family "Bacterial small subunit ribosomal RNA", at positions 28 to 507 of the family's 1533-position model. The record is from RNAcentral.
GACGAACGCUGGCGGCGUGCUUAACACAUGCAAGUCGAACGGAAAGGCCCUGCUUUUGUGGGGUGCUCGAGUGGCGAACGGGUGAGUAACACGUGAGUAACCUGCCCUUGACUUUGGGAUAACUUCAGGAAACUGGGGCUAAUACCGGAUAGGAGCUCCUGCUGCAUGGUGGGGGUUGGAAAGUUUCGGCGGUUGGGGAUGGACUCGCGGCUUAUCAGCUUGUUGGUGGGGUAGUGGCUUACCAAGGCUUUGACGGGUAGCCGGCCUGAGAGGGUGACCGGCCACAUUGGGACUGAGAUACGGCCCAGACUCCUACGGGAGGCAGCAGUGGGGAAUAUUGCACAAUGGGCGGAAGCGUGAUACAGCAACGCCGCGUGCGGGAUGACGGCCUUCGGGUUGUAAACCGCUUUCGCCUGUGACGAAGCGUGAGUGACGGUAAUGGGUAAAGAAGCACCGGCUAACUACGUG